GACGUAGGGCGCGAGCGUUGUCCGGAUUUAUUGGGCGUAAAGAGCUCGUAGGCGGCUUGUUGCGUCGACUGUGAAAACCUGCGGCUCAACCGUGUGGUCUGCAGUCGAUACGGGCAGGCUGGAGUUCGGUAGGGGAGACUGGAAUUUCUGGUGUAGCGGUGAAAUGCGUAGAUAUCAGAAGGAACAUCAGUGGCGAAAGCGGCUUCCUGGACCAGAACUGACGAUCAGGCUCGAAAGCGUGGGGAGCAAACAGG
This 254-nucleotide ribosomal RNA is filed under the name uncultured bacterium. Its description in RNAcentral is "partial 16S ribosomal RNA". It matches the Rfam family "Bacterial small subunit ribosomal RNA", at positions 524 to 776 of the family's 1533-position model. The record is from RNAcentral.